RNAcentral lists this ribosomal RNA (268 nucleotides) under uncultured bacterium. RNAcentral describes it as "partial 16S ribosomal RNA". It matches the Rfam family "Bacterial small subunit ribosomal RNA", at positions 1234 to 1500 of the family's 1533-position model. The record is from RNAcentral.
ACGGUACAACGAGUCGCAAGCUCGCGAGAGUAAGCUAAUCUCUUAAAGCCGUUCUCAGUUCGGACUGUAGGCUGCAACUCGCCUACACGAAGUCGGAAUCGCUAGUAAUCGCGGAUCAGCAUGCCGCGGUGAAUACGUUCCCGGGCCUUGUACACACCGCCCGUCACACCAUGGGAGUUUGUAACGCCCAAAGUCGGUGGCCUAACCUUUAUGGAGGGAGCCGCCUAAGGCGGGACAGAUGACUGGGGUGAAGUCGUAACAAGGUAGC